This 301-nucleotide ribosomal RNA is filed under the name uncultured bacterium. RNAcentral describes it as "partial 16S ribosomal RNA". It matches the Rfam family "Bacterial small subunit ribosomal RNA", at positions 509 to 807 of the family's 1533-position model. The record is from RNAcentral.
CAGCCGCCGCGGGAAUACGUAGGUGGCAAGCGUUGUCCGGAAUUAUUGGGCGUAAAGGGCUCGCAGGCGGACUGAUAAGUCAGGGGUGAAAUCCCAAGGCUCAACCUUGGAACUGCCUUUGAUACUGUUUGUCUUGAGUUCGAGAGAGGUAAGUGGAACUGCGAGUGUAGAGGUGAAAUUCGUAGAUAUUCGCAAGAACACCAGUGGCGAAGGCGGCUUACUGGCUCGAAACUGACGCUGAGGCGCGAAAGCGUGGGGAGCAAACAGGAUUAGAUACCCCGGUAGUCCCUGUCUCUUAUAC